UUUUAUCACCGAAAGUAUUUGAUUUUAUUAUUAAUUGGGGGUGUUUAAUCGUCCUUUAACGGGCCAGGUAGGCUCGGUUAAAUUAUUUUUACGUUGUGAUAAAUUAUUCGGUUUUACUUAUAUCUGUUUAAUAGCUUUGUAGUGCUGAAACACUUUUAGGGCGAGAAUGUUCUAAAGAUUCAAAUAUCUAUUAUAGUCUGAGUUGAAUAAAGGGUUAAAAUUACCCAUUAUUUGCAAUUGUGUUGCGACUUUGAGUUUAAUUUCCGCUGGAUUUUAUUUACAAGCUGUUAAUGCUUUAAUUUUUAGUUUCUUACUAUGAUUAUAUAAGUAAUAUUAGUAUAAGAUAUGUUUCUCGUUAGCCUCCUGUCUGUUUAUUAAAAACAUUUCCACGCUAAAACGUGUGUGGUAGUACCUGCUCUAUGCUUUUGUAAAUGGCCGCAGUAUCUUGACUGUGCGAAGGUAGCAUAAUUAAUUGCCCUAUAAUUGAGGGCUUGUUUGAAUGGUUUGACAAGGUGGUGUUUAACACAUUUUAUUCAGUUGAAAUUAAUAAUGGGGGUACAGAAUCCCCUUAGAUUAAUUAGACGGAAAGACCCCGGGAUCUUUAUUUUUUGUCUGGGGCAGAUUGCUAUAUUUCAUUAGUAAAUUAGACCCUAAUGGUGCAUUGGUGUAAGUUACCCCGGGGAUAACAGUGUAAUAGUUUAUUAGAGGUCAUAUCGAAUGAACUGCUUG
RNAcentral lists this ribosomal RNA (729 nucleotides) under Adelobothrium aetiobatidis. RNAcentral's name for it is "partial 16S ribosomal RNA". The stretch from base 360 to 516 matches the Rfam family "Bacterial large subunit ribosomal RNA", at positions 1792 to 2012 of the family's 2925-position model. The record is from RNAcentral. Lineage: Eukaryota; Metazoa; Platyhelminthes; Cestoda; Lecanicephalidea; Adelobothriidae.